ACAGCAGGAAAGAGCUAAAAUUGGAGCAGUGGCUGUCAGACAGCAGAAGUAAAGAUCCGGAGCAGCUGAUUGGGCGUCGUUAUCCAGUGAGAAUCGGCAUUCUUGGAAUUUCUAAAGAUGGUGUCGGGCAGCCAGAUCAGACCGACCAUGUUGCUGUUUGAAAAAGAGGCAAAUUGAUAGAGAGAGAGAGAAAAGAAGGGUCACCCUGGAGCCUAUCCCAGCCGACAUAGGGCAAGAGGUGGGGUACACCCUGGAAAGACAGUCCAGUCUGUUGCACGGCUAACACAGAGAGACACUCCCAUUCACACCUAUGGGCAAUUUAGAAUCACCAGUUAACCUAACCCCAGUAACUGGAUGUCUUUGGACUGUGGGAGGAAGCCAGGGUAACAGAGAGAACCCACACAGAAAGGCCCUGGGUGGAUGGUGGAUUCGAACCCAGGACCUUCUUGUUGUGAAGCAACAGUACUAUCCACCGUCCUGCCCUGGCUGCUAUUAUUGGUUUAUUAAUACAGUGAAACUCGUGUUUGCAUCUUAGCAAUGGGAAAAGGAGUCAAAUUUACAGCCACCCUAGAAGCUAGUUUGGGCUACAGUAGAUGGUCAAUUCAGCUGUUCUCACAUAGUAUACCCUGCUACUGAAACUCAUGUGCUUAUACCAGCACUGCUUUGCUCACUCAUUUCCUAAAUUUCCCUCCUUUUCUCACUGAAAACUAUGCUUGUUGCUGUUCGUGCAUCAUUUCUUUGGCGCCACCUCCGCCCCCACAUCUGAGUAUAGCCUGCAUUCGCCUUCAGGGAAGAGUUGUUACUGUCGCUCCCCACUCACUGUCUUCAUGUCCAUUUUGAGGGUGGCAGACUGGGAGAAUAAGUGUGGGCUAGGCACUGUCAUUCCGUACAUGGAAGUAACAACAGUGAGUGGGUGAGGAUGGCAGUAAACUACAAUGUCAGAGCCUAAACUCACUCUUUCCCUCCCCAUACACAUGAAAUCAUGAUGGUACAUGCCAACAUUAAAACUUAUACUUCACUCCUUAAUCUUUUGCUCCCCACAAGGAAGUAAAAAACAUGGACUGGUUAUUGUAAACUACGAUGUCAGAUCCAAACUUCUUACUAUCUGAUUGCUGAGAAGAAAGCGAUUAUGUUUCAUGGAAUCUGGCUCACUGAAAUGUUUUUAAUGUUGAUUUUGUACUGUACAAGAACAAUUAUUUUAAUGACUACUACUAGGCUUCAUUUUAUUUUUUUAAAUUACUUCUUUUUUUCCCCACACAGAAAGUGAAUUAUCAGACCUAUUAAGCAGAUUCGUUUUUGUAUCAAUGAAAUCAAUAAAGUAUCUAGGAGAUUUCACAUUUAAUUGCUAAUUAAAUGAAUUAAU
Long non-coding RNA from Archocentrus centrarchus (flier cichlid), 1363 nucleotides. RefSeq lists it as uncharacterized. The record is from RefSeq and is a predicted model, not a curated record. The transcript is spliced from 3 exons. NCBI's taxonomy places the organism in Eukaryota, Metazoa, Chordata, Actinopteri, Cichliformes, Cichlidae.